UGUCCGCCCGAACGAUGGGAGCUGCUGCGCUCUGUGACGCGCGGGGAAACCUCCUUGAAUAUCAAGUAGUUCCAAACCCCUGACAUGGGCAGAGACACCUUCCGCUAGACCAGCUUGUUCAAAGCCCCUUUCUGUACUUAUCUCAUGUCAAAGUUCUUCUGUGGCCUUCACACUGUUUGAGACGUGCAGCUGUGGUCUGAUAAAUGAAGAAGUCAUUCUGAGAGAGCUGCACAACAAAUUCCUGUCAACACCACCUAUGUAUGGCCAAGGACAUGAGGAACACAUCCAGCCAUGAAGAAAUGGCCUCUCAGCCACCAGGUCAAGGUCAUGAACAGCCCCUGAUCAGCUUUAACUGCAGAUGGCAUAGUGGAAACAUCCUUUCUUGGGAAAAAGAAAGAAGCAAGAAGACCUUAGAGAAAAUGUUUCCUUGGAGUCCAGUAUGAGUUUUGCGCAGAACAGUCUUCUGGAGCAGGUAAGUCAGGCAGAGGUCAAACAGAGUUUGGUGGUGCCACCGAGUUUCUGCUUCAGACUGGGACUUCAUAUGAGCUGUUAGGGAUGGAUUUUACUCCAGAUUCCCAGCAUUUUUACUUCUCUUACAUAUUUAAAGCCCAUCCCAGAGUUUUGCAGCUUAAAGACAUCUUCAAACUACCAU
Long non-coding RNA from Cyanistes caeruleus (blue tit), 652 nucleotides. RefSeq lists it as uncharacterized. The record is from RefSeq and is a predicted model, not a curated record. NCBI's taxonomy places the organism in Eukaryota, Metazoa, Chordata, Aves, Passeriformes, Paridae.